RNAcentral lists this ribosomal RNA (250 nucleotides) under uncultured bacterium. Its description in RNAcentral is "partial 16S ribosomal RNA". It matches the Rfam family "Bacterial small subunit ribosomal RNA", at positions 355 to 597 of the family's 1533-position model. The record is from RNAcentral.
UGGGGAAUAUUGGACAAUGGGCGCAAGCCUGAUCCAGCAAUGCCGCGUGGGUGAAGACGGCCUGCGGGUUGUAAAGCCCUUUGGGCGGGGAGGAACGGCGUCGCGCGAACAGGGCGGCGCCCUGACGUUACCCGCGAAACAAGCACCGGCUAACUCCGUGCCAGCAGCCGCGGUAAUACGGAGGGUGCGAGCGUUAAUCGGAAUUACUGGGCGUAAAGCGUGCGUAGGCGGUCCGGUCAGUCAGCCGUGA